Pezoporus occidentalis (night parrot) is the source of this 286-nucleotide long non-coding RNA. RefSeq lists it as uncharacterized. Lineage: Eukaryota; Metazoa; Chordata; Aves; Psittaciformes; Psittacidae. The record is from RefSeq and is a predicted model, not a curated record. The transcript has 2 exons.
AUUGCAGGUACAGAGAUGAGAAGUGGGAGUCCCCUGAGCAAAGUCUCUGCAGCUGCCUCUUCAGCAAAGAAGAAAAUGAAUUCACUGGUGAAGGCUUUGCUUUGUCUGGCUGAACGGCGUGGUCUUGAGCACCUUGCGUAUUCCUGCCGUGUUCCCCUUUCUUUGGACAGAGGCAGUCUCACCCUGAAAGCAAGCACGGUUAACAUCACAGUAAGAGCUCGGAAUGGCAAUGUUCUCACUGGAUAAGUUAACUAUAACGGCUUCCAUAAAUAACUUUUUAAUUAAA